Molecule: ribosomal RNA, 253 nt
Filed under: uncultured bacterium
Lineage: Bacteria
Description: partial 16S ribosomal RNA
Rfam family: Bacterial small subunit ribosomal RNA
Source: RNAcentral
UACGAAGGGGGCUAGCGUUGCUCGGAAUCACUGGGCGUAAAGCGCACGUAGGCGGGUCGUUAAGUCGGGGGUGAAAUCCUGGAGCUCAACUCCAGAACUGCCUUUGAUACUGGAGAGCUUGAGUCCGGAAGAGGUGAGUGGAACUCCGAGUGUAGAGGUGAAAUUCGUAGAUAUUCGGAAGAACACCAGUGGCGAAGGCGGCUCACUGGUCCGGUACUGACGCUGAGGUGCGAAAGCGUGGGGAGCAAACAGG